UUCACGGAGAGUUUGAUCCUGGCUCAGGACGAACGCUGGCGGCGUGCUUUAUACAUGCAAGUCGAACGAAGAAGCCCCUUCGGG
This 84-nucleotide ribosomal RNA is filed under the name Actinomycetota bacterium. RNAcentral's name for it is "Actinobacteria bacterium partial 16S ribosomal RNA". It matches the Rfam family "Bacterial small subunit ribosomal RNA", at positions 1 to 84 of the family's 1533-position model. Lineage: Bacteria; Bacillati; Actinomycetota. The record is from RNAcentral.